GAAUCUUCGAUCUGUCGAUAAAAGAUUUGAUAUAGGAUUGGUGUUUUGUUGUUGGAUCAUAGUGUUACCAUCGAUCUGCCCAUAAAAGGUGAGAGGGUUGGACUCUAUUCGAUCUUUAGCAUCAGAGUUUUUCCAAUCUUCAAUCUAUUGAUAAAGGUUUAAAACAGAACAUCAGCUAAAGUGUUGAAGCUCCAGAGUUUAAACUCAAGGGUAAGGCAUAACUAAAGGUCGCCACAUGAAUCCAAUUGAAUCUGGUAUUUUGAUCCAUUUCAAUUCUAUCACUUAUCAAGAACAAUCCACAAAGGGAUAGACUGUCUGCUUUCCUUUGCACAAAGAUAUCAAACUGUAUUUCUGCACUCUUCGAUCUUCAGCCAAACUGUUGGCUGAGAAGGGAAAUCCAAUCUCUUAUGCAGCAAAGGCGGAAAACUUAUUCAGCUGAUUUCACUUUGAUACUCCAAUUCUAAGUCACCUAUGAUGACCUGGAAAUCGAAGUAAGAGACUGGCACAAGCAGAAACUCUGUAAGAAAUUCAAUAAGUUUGCGAGGAAGUUCAAGCAAAGUUCAAUUGCCAGUCCUGUUUACCUGCACUGAAAAUUGUAUUAUGUAUUCGGGCAUCUGCUCUUUCAAUUUCAGUUACAUAUCAACUAUAUUCACUUUCAAUUUCAAUUAGCACUCCUGUUCAUUACACAUAACAACUUCUCAUGUAUACAAUUACUUACUUUCCUAAACAAUUCAUUAACAAUCCUAACU
RNAcentral lists this long non-coding RNA (749 nucleotides) under Rosa chinensis. Its description in RNAcentral is "sRNA RchiOBHm_Chr2g0093851". The record is from RNAcentral. Lineage: Eukaryota; Viridiplantae; Streptophyta; Magnoliopsida; Rosales; Rosaceae.